RNAcentral lists this unclassified non-coding RNA (213 nucleotides) under Hevea brasiliensis (rubber tree). The record is from RNAcentral. Lineage: Eukaryota; Viridiplantae; Streptophyta; Magnoliopsida; Malpighiales; Euphorbiaceae.
CAAUACCCUCAGUCUCACCGUCACUGAGUCGCAAGCCCAAAAGCAGACCUCCACCUCCAGGGAUGAAAAUCUUCCUUCCUGGAUUAAUGGGCCAGCCCGAGGUCCAAGAACAAUUGGGUCACCCGAAACAACGGCCCAAGUUCACCCACAGUUAUUUACUCGUACCCUUCUAUCGAAAGCAAUGGAGAGCUAUGGUGUUGAGGUGGUGACAGG